GCUGUUUUCCCCUGCCCCUUACUUCCGAAGGACUGCGGCUUUGACCCGUUCCGCCCCUCUGUGGGAGGGUCUCACCGAGCAAUGGCCGAAUGAGCAAUGGCCGAAUAUCAGCUGCACCCAGGAACACUUGCUGGACCCUGCUGCUGCUGGUACCCCGAGACUGGCCAGGUGCCAGCCCGCCCCAGAAAACGUUCGCAAGACAGUGUUGGUGCAGCGUUUCAGGGAUGAUGGAAAAUCACAACACACACCUGGCACCAGGCUUCACCCUUAAAGACCUUGUUCCAGCACCAGCGAAUGUGGCCGCCUUCCGGGGUCUGCUGGGACCCGGUGGCUUCAACGGUCUUUACCAAGUGUCCUUCCAGCAGUGGAACCGCUUUUCCCCGUGUGGCCCGAGAACCUCCCGGACCCCAGUCUGUUCCUGGGGAUUCGCCCUUCCCACCAGAGCACCGCCAGUUGUGUUCCUAUGAAAACUCUAACUGCACUGAAACAUUCCAGAUGCAGCAAAACUUACUUUCAACUUCAAAUUGAAGAAAUACUAGUUUUCUAGCAGAACGCUACCCUGCCUCCUACGAACAUAAAAGGCAGCAAAGAAGCAACCACACCUGCGCCCGAUAGCACUGGCACCACACGCCCCGUACCCUGGAAAACCCGGUCUCCGAGGGCAUCUGCAGACGACUCGGGAAGGGCCUCCUUCCACACUCACACGCGGAGAAACGCUGCAUGGAGGUCCGUUCCCCUCUGGGCCACUCACAGAUUGCAGUGGCAUCCAAGAGCUUCUCAGAGGCCUGCGGCAAAAACUGUGCUGCUUUAUUUAAAGCGGCAUUUCUCACACUUACUAAAGCUCAGGACUCCUUUACAGAGGAGCGCGAGUUAGCAUCUCAGGAGAUACAACAGUUUCAUGGAGCCGUUUGAGAAAACUCUCAAUUAAUCUCAGAGUCAGAAUGGAAUCAUUUCAUUCAAAGAUAUUUCUUGUAUAUGCACAUGAAAAAGGCACUGCUUCCCUGGAGCUGAAAUAUUCAAAUAGGGUUUCUGCUGCCAGGUGAAUUUUCUUACGCCUUCUAACCCAGGUAACUUCCAAGGCUCCUCUGCUCAAUAAAACCUCUUCCAGCAACUCUGUGUCCCCUCCCUACUCGGUGCAAGAGAGUCAAGUUCUAGGAGGUGAGGCCCUUCCUUGUUGCCAGGACCACUGGGCGCCGGAGGCGCGGACAAGGGAAACCCUGGGCUUUUGAAUCCAACGCUUGAGCAACCGCACCGUGUAGUCAAAGCAAACCUGGAAUCGACUUCAAAAAGCUCACAAACAGCCUUGAGAGGUUAUGAGCUGGGCGAUAAAUCAUGUGCAGUAGCUGUCACCACUGACACCUGCUGAUCGGUGACCUGCUCAGCAAGUUUAAAGAACUCUGAGUUUCUUGGUUAAAAAAAAAUAAUCUAAAACUAGGCUCCAAAUGAGGACUUCUGCUCCUUGUAUGCUCUUCAACAGGAGAGGGAGCACUAGGGAGGACUCCACGGGCCUGGACACAUUGCCGGGGCAGGCCUAUCUGCAGGGAGCACACGGCCUGCUUCGCUAUCCUUUAGAAAAUUCUGGGGGUGCCUGGGUGGCUUGGUUAAGCAUCCGACCUUGGCACAGGUCAUGACCUCACGGUCAGUGGGUUCGAGCCCCGAGUCAGGCUCUGUGCGCACAGCUCGGAGCCUGGAGCCUUCUUCGGAUUCUGUGUCUCCCUGUCUCUCUGCUCUUCCCCUGCUCAUGCUCUGUUUCUCUCUCUCUCUCUCUCUCAAAAACAAAUCCACAUUAAAAAUUUUAAGAAAAUUCUGAUAGCCACAGCAUGGUUUCAGCUCUUCCGCAGAGGCACUUGGAGCCCGGGGCCCCUAGAGGCGUCACCUGCUUUCUCGGGAAGCACCGGGUCAAGGGGCCUUUCUGCCCUGGGCCUCAGGGAGGGUUUUCCUGCUCCCGGUCCCUCCCAGAGGGUGUUGCUUUUGCGAGUAGCACCCACAUUCUUUUUUCCCCUUAUCAACUUUUUUUUUUUUCUUCCCAUAGGGGGAAUAGAGCCUCGGACCCAGUACCUGCAGGUCCUGUGAGUACAGACCCCUCUUGGCGCCCGGGCCAAUAUUUACAAGGUGGUGGCAAAGACUUCUGCUAAGAACCCUUGAAAAAACUCAGGGAAAGGGGAUUUGCCAACCGUGUCACAGACUCAGAAGUUUAAGAGUAUCGCAGAUCACUGAAAAAGGGUCUGAUUGAAGUGAGAGCUGAUAUUCAAGAAUUGAAUCUCUAGUCUGAAGAGAGGCAGGGUUUUAACCAGGGACCCUUCAGUCUUCCUUGUGGGGACUCCACCCCCCCCCCCCCCCCCACAGGGCUGGCAUCAUCCAUCUCCCAAAGCUCAGAAGUGACCUACGAACUAAAACUAUGAAUCGUAUUUCUAUAAUUGAAAGUAAAGAAAUCAAAAACAAAAAUAACUAAACUCCGGAAAUAUAAUCGCUUAACCAUUUCUUUGUAUUUUUAUUGAACUUUCUUGAAUUUUUUUUUUUUUUUAAUUUCUGCCCAGUCAUGACAAUUAAGUGGGAAACCACAACGACAAUUUACAAACUGUGGCAUGAAAAAGAACACACACCCCAUCAGGAGUUAUACCAAACCCUUUCCUUUUUAUUCAUUCAAAAGAGUCCAACGCACAAAUGUCAAAUAUGAGCACUGUCAUUUUUUUUCUUGGAAGGGGGAAAAACAUUUAUUCUGGCAGCACUUUUACAAUUCCAGGAAGCGGUUUUGAUACCAUUGGUUGCAAGAAUAGAAACCAUAACAGACUUGAAGGGCGUUUGUUUGCCAGGCGAGGGCUACUUGGUCUGGAAAGACUCCCCCUUGUGCUUUGGGAACUGCCCGUCCACCUCGGCUGGCCGAGCCUUCCCAGGUAUGGAAAGAGAAAA
Acinonyx jubatus (cheetah) is the source of this 2910-nucleotide long non-coding RNA. RefSeq lists it as uncharacterized. The transcript is spliced from 2 exons. NCBI's taxonomy places the organism in Eukaryota, Metazoa, Chordata, Mammalia, Carnivora, Felidae. The record is from RefSeq and is a predicted model, not a curated record.